GUGUAAAAUCAAACAAGUGUUCGGUAAACAGGAAGUUGUUGAGUGAUGAAUCUGAAAACGCAUCAAGUUCCAAGUAUAGCUGACUUAUAUCAAGCCUGAAACCAAAUUUCAGAAAUCCUGGUAGUGUAGUUCCUGACAAAAAAUGUGACGAAAAAUAUUCAUGGGACGGACGGACUGACUGACAGACUGACGGACGGAUGGACUGACGGACUGACGGACAGAGGUAAAACAGUAUACCCCCCUUUUUUCAAAGCGGGGGUAUAAUUAAAUAUCUUACAAUGCAAAGCUAGUUGUUUGCGAUGUGCGAUGAUGCGUAGCUGCAUGGUAGAUUACCACGUGAAUUAGAUCAUUUUGAUUAUCUUUGAAUUCACCACAGUCGCUUGAAUUUUAGUG
This 393-nucleotide long non-coding RNA is filed under the name Mytilus galloprovincialis (Mediterranean mussel). The record is from RNAcentral. Lineage: Eukaryota; Metazoa; Mollusca; Bivalvia; Mytilida; Mytilidae.